GAGAGAGGCCUAAAGCCAUUGACCUUCUCCGUGGAGACUUCAUGUGAGGUAUAAUGACUUUUGUUUUUAACUGAGUUCCCUAAAUCAAUCCAAACGAUGAGGGUCACUAGUUGUUUUAAUUAACAUGUCUAUAACUCUUUCCACUAAAUUAUCUUUUCCCCAGCCAGAUUAGAUGGGUGUUAUUUGAGUUCCCUCACCUACAAACAUAGUUGCAAACUUUAAUUGGUUUAGUCAGUAGAUUAGUAAAUGCAACAUUUACUUGGGCUCAGGGAACACCUGCUACUCCCUAAGUGCUGAAGCUAAACAGGUGCGGAUCUGAUCUGUUCCCUGAUGGGAGACUAUUGGGAGGUAAGGUAAUUGUGGAAUAUUAAUAUAAAACAUGAAAGAAAAGGAAUAAGAGUAACAAUGGGCUUAGUUUUUCAGCAUUUAAGGUGGCAAAUAGAAAGGUGAAACAUUUGCCAUGAGCACCUUUGAGGGCUCAGCCACACUUCCUUUUGUCCUGCAACUUUCCCUUGAGAAAAAGCUUCUCUUUUGUGUUCAGUUAGAGCAAAUGGCAGUUCGAGUUUUCUCUGGACUGACGUUUGUUCCAAUUUAGCACUAAAGAGCAGGUUUUCCCUGAGAUCUGUUGGAUCAAAGCACUGCUUAGUCCAACAUCCUGUUUCUCACAGAGCCUUAUAUGAUGUGCACAAGCAGGGCUUGAGGGCAAUAGCCUGACACCAUAUUUGUCCAAAUCUUUCUAAAGUCCUCAGCCCUAUUCCACAUCAGUAGGGUGAUUAUAAUAACAUUGGCAAGUUGCUUUUACCCCAAGCACUGUAUACAGGCCUUCCUUCCACCCACAAGUGCAUAUAUACAGUAAUACUUCACUUCUGAUUUAAUAUACGGUCACAAGGACGUCAGGGAAGUUUCCCUAGCCCUUUUCAGAAUGAAGGUGCUUCUUUCAAUAAGUCUUGGUGUGCCUUGCCAGAAUGUCUGUGGCUUGCUGAAAAAGUCGCUGCAUGGUUCCCCUAUCCAGCCGAGAUGUUAAUUGGCCUUAUAAUGUUGUGACAGGGUUGUCUGCUCAGCUGUAUAGAAAACCAGCAGGAGUCCAGGUUAAGUAGAGGAAACUCUCCUGACUUCUUCUGAUUGAUUUAACAGGUUUGUUUGUUGUCUUUUUAAAAAAAAUAAUACAACCCAAGAAAAGAUUUAUCAAGUCAUUAGACCUCAUUCCUUGAAGGAGCUGAACAAUUCAUAUCGCAACAAAGCACACAAGGUAUGACCCAAUAAACUAUCAAAAUCAAAGUUUUAUAUCAUGUCCCCCCCUCCAGAAGAUAGACCAGUAGUGUAGCAGAGGAGGAACACAGGGGAGCACAACGUCAGUAUUUUUUUCGCAGCAAGAGCGAUACUGCCAUCUGCUGAAACAGCAUUAUUACCCCUAAGUGCUGAAAACUUGGUGGAUUAGAGGAUAGGUUAGUCCUGUCAUAUGAUCCCUUCAUUAGGUAGACUAAUCUCAGACAGUGGGCAUGGGUGGGAACAGCCAUAGAGCCCUCCUCCCACCAGCAACAUUGCUGUUACCUGGACAGGACAGGACUGGUAAGUGUCAUGAUUGUAUCAGCAAGAGGAUCAGAUUCCCAGUGCUGGUUCUACAGGUGCCACCCCAACCUUAACCACCAUCCCUACAGGGAAGAGGGUAUGCUGGAGGCAGCAAUGGGCAAUCCAGCUUCACACCAAUUGGAAUCCUUAAAGCUGUUCCUGAUUCGUCUCUUGACAUCCCUGCCUCGCCAACACCUCCUGGCGUGUAUACAAACAAACGAAUCUGACAUUAGUUAAGCUGUAAUGUGGACAGCUGGCUGGGUGGGAGGGCGAGCUGUGAAACAAACCAGUGGAGCAGGGGGUAAUUUCUAAGGUGGUAAUGUGAAACACCCUUAGGCUAGGAAGUUGGUUUUUACAGCUCCUUCAAAAAGCCUCUGAAGACACACUACCUGUCCAGGGUUUGAGAGCUAGGGACUGUUGACCACCACUGACAAACUAAACUGGUAGAGCUCAACAUAGCACUUCUCUAAGAAUGGCUUGUUUGCAGUGCCAUCGUCCUUAUGAAUGGGGCAAGGUGGAGAUGAGGUUACGGGUGUGGGAGGGAUUUCCAAUUAUACAAAAGCAACUUGGAAGACUUCACAUUAAUGCGGUUUGGAAGAUCUCCUCGGGUUCAUAUGAGGUGGUGAUAGCAGAGAGGCUGAAUUAACUGAGCAAGAACAAAUUAUGUUCACUUAAUAUAGAGACGUUGAACCUUUGUGCUCAAGAUGGCUGAUUCACCAUACUGUACUCUCAGUCAAUCCAUGCAGGAAAAAUACAGCUCUGGUUAAGGCUUCAUACUUCUGAUGGAGUGGACUGGCGUCUGUUAAAGUCCAUAAUAGAUGUUGGUUUUUAAGGUGUAACAGCGAAACUGGAUGCCAUCAUCUGCCCAAGCUGCACUAAAACAUGUCUCUCCUGCAUUGGUCUCUACAGCCACAGCAGGCACUGUAACUCUCCAGUGGUUUGACUUCAACCCCGAAUGGUAGACUCUUCCAUUGUUUCUCGAGACAGACAGAUGCCAACUGGCUUUAUAUGGUCUAAUAUUUAGGGAAAUUUUGGUUGUGGUUUAUUCUGUCCUAGCCCAGAGAGGAUUGAACAUGGUGACACCACUGUGUCACCUCUGGGCCUGUGCUUCUCCAUAGUUUGGCUGUGCAUUUAUCAGAAUGAUCUAACUGAGGACUUACCUGGUAAGACACUGCCCAGAGGCCAGUGUCAGAGCAGGAGGGUCAGGGACAUAUUUAGAAGGCAUUAUCUCUCUAACAAGAUUUGGACAGCUAUGUUCAGCAUUUUAGACCGAACAAAGGAACAGGUAUUUUCAAAGUGAGCUUUCAAAGAAGGCUUUUAAACUCUUUUUGAUCUCUCUAAGUCUCUUAAAGGGAAUUUAAAUUGAGAAUGGGUGACAUUCUUUGUUCAUGUGCCACUCCAUAUUAUUAGCUUUGUAAACAGAUGCUGGGCCUCAUUCAUGUCACUCACACUAACAAUUUGGCUUCGUUGCCCAUUCUCAUAUUUUCUGACUUACUUUUGAUGAUGUGCAACUUGUCAGGGCAAGGUGGCUAUUUAUUUGGGGCUAAUGUUUGUGUGGACACUUAGCAACGUGUCUGCUUCUCUUAAUAAACCACUUAAAGUGAAGUAAGGAAGUUCAUUCAGAGUUUCAUCUCCCUUGUUCUCCUCUGCAGGCCCUUGUGUUCCCCCCUCUCUGAACAGACAACGGCCAUGAAGAAUGGGACACAAGCCAGGGACUGAUGUGGGAGAGGGGAAUUGCCCCAAAUCAGGCUUGGAUUCAAACCUAAGGAAGUUAAUGAAAGGAACAUUUUCCACCCCUCCUUCCCCAACCUUCCAGGAAGGCUGUUAGAAAUAUUUGUCCCGGUAUACCUGACUGCACCAUCCCAGCUUUAUUCCCUGAAACAGCCUAUCAUCACCAAGAUUGUGUUACGAUAGUGGAGGGCAUGCCCCAUCCUCAGCACAUUAUAUAAGGGCGCAGUAAGUUUCACACGUCAUUCCAUCCGCUAUGCAGUGCAACUGUUAAACAGAGAGAAAACACACAAAGCCCUCAACAUCUUUCCCCACUUUUAUCUGUUAGGAAUUAUUCAGGCUUUCCACUUCACAAAGGUUCGAGCUAUUCUGAGCUCAGGAGGGCCACCCAAAAUGAAAGCAGGGCACACACUUGGCAAUAUUGACAAGAUCUUGAAAGAAGGAGCCUCCAGUGUCGAGUUUUGCUUUUGAUUGUGCCAGCCAUUCAUUAAGAUCUCAAGCUGGUUCCUCAAACAACACUUGGCCUGUAUGUACUCUCGACUAGAAACAGCCAGUAUUUCUAGCGCAGUUUAUGUGAUGAACUCGGACACCGUUUCUCCCAUGAGAGCCAUGUUACAAAACUGUGACCAUAAAACCAUUACAGACAACCUAGGUGGGUUGUCCAUGACAUAUAGUUAAGCUCUCAGAAAAAUAAAUCCCUUUUACGUAUCGGUUAGGAAAACUACGGUCGGUUGCGUUCUCAGCUGAAGUGUGUGGGUUUUAGGAGGAGUGGGGGAGAUGUGGCUUCUUUUGAAGGGUUCCAACUAUCUCAAAAUCAGGAGAGAGAAAUAAAUUAAUCUCCCAUUUGAUGACAUUGGCAGUUCUGGCUGCAGAAACUAUUUGGAAAUGUAAAAGUGCCAGUGCUGUACUACAGUUCCAGCAUGUUCCCUCCAGAAAAAAGGGGGGAAAUCUGCAUUUUAUUUAAUCCCUAGAGAACUGAAUGAAGUAGCCAGGGACAAGCACACCACAGAGAGGAUCUGUUCAGUUUCAUGGAAGCAGGCACUAAGUAGUUGUUGCUGGCACUGCCUACCUGCUUUGACAGGCUGGUGCCACACGGAAUCUCAGCAGAAGCCCUGUAGGAAAAGUUCUGAGGAGCAACACAACGGAGGCCCUUAUUGGAAUUAUAUUUCAUAAGCCUGGUUUACAGCGAAGGGCAAAGCAAACUGUAAAAGUCACUCAGAUUCAGCUGUGAACCACAAAACCUGUUCUUAGCUUUGUGCUCUUCCACUUUGGUUCAACGCUAUGGGAAGCUCCAGCAACUGAUUAACUGCCUGAGCACUACAUAAGAUUGCUUACGGCAGAAGGACCCCAUAUUUUAGAGGACCUGCACUAUGUAACUCCUUGUGGUUGUAUGAUUGUGCAAUGCUUGGUUAGCAAAUAUUUUUACACCACUGGUAGGGCCGGCCCAAGAGAUCUUGCUGCCUGAAGCAAAGCAGCAAAUGGCACCCUCCCCUCCAAGACAAGGAGCAGAAUACCUGUGUGCAGCCAAGUUAUUUUGGCACCUGAGACGGACCAUCCCACCAGUCCCUCCUUAACAGUAAAAAUGCAGCAAUAAUAAAUCAAGCCAAAAUCAGCUGUGUAAGUCAGUCACCUCACUGUGCAUAAUGGUGGGAGAGGGAGAGGGAGAGAGAAUGAAUAGCAAGUGCCCAGUGGGAAAUAAUAUAGUAACAUCAAAUCUUAGUUUUGAAGUCCUGC
Non-coding RNA from Podarcis lilfordi (Lilford's wall lizard), 5031 nucleotides. The record is from the annotation of a GenBank genome assembly. NCBI's taxonomy places the organism in Eukaryota, Metazoa, Chordata, Lepidosauria, Squamata, Lacertidae.